CAGUCGCCACGGUAAUACGUAUGGUGCAAGCGUUAAUCGGAAUUACUGGGCGUAAAGCGUGCGCAGGCGGUUUUGUAAGUCUGUCGUGAAAUCCCCGGGCUCAACCUGGGAAUGGCGAUGGAGACUGCAAGGCUAGAAUCUGGCAGAGGGGGGUAGAAUUCCACGUGUAGCAGUGAAAUGCGUAGAUAUGUGGAGGAACACCGAUGGCGAAGGCAGCCCCCUGGGCUAAGAUUGACGCUCAUGCACGAAAGCGUGGGGAGCAAACAGGAUUAGAUACCCCUGUAGUCCCUGUCUCUUAUAC
This 301-nucleotide ribosomal RNA is filed under the name uncultured bacterium. Its description in RNAcentral is "partial 16S ribosomal RNA". It matches the Rfam family "Bacterial small subunit ribosomal RNA", at positions 509 to 807 of the family's 1533-position model. The record is from RNAcentral.